This 335-nucleotide unclassified non-coding RNA is filed under the name soil metagenome. RNAcentral's name for it is "partial contains 5.8S ribosomal RNA, internal transcribed spacer 2, and large subunit ribosomal RNA". The stretch from base 1 to 120 matches the Rfam family "5.8S ribosomal RNA", at positions 35 to 154 of the family's 154-position model. The record is from RNAcentral.
GAUGAAGAACGCAGCGAAAUGCGAUAAGUAAUGUGAAUUGCAGAAUUCAGUGAAUCAUCGAAUCUUUGAACGCACAUUGCGCCCUUUGGUAUUCCUUAGGGCAUGCCUGUUCGAGCGUCAUUUAAACCUUCAAGCCCUGCUUGGUGUUGGGUGCCUGUCCCGCCUCCGCGCGUGGACUCACCUCAAAUCCAUUGGCGGCCCCCGCACGGCCACGAGCGCAGCAGAAACGCAAACUCGUGCCGCGACCGGGCGGCUCCCAGAAGCUACACUCACCAUUUUGACCUCGGAUCAGGUAGGGAUACCCGCUGAACUUAAGCAUAUCAAUAAGCGGAGGA